This 253-nucleotide ribosomal RNA is filed under the name uncultured bacterium. Its description in RNAcentral is "partial 16S ribosomal RNA". It matches the Rfam family "Bacterial small subunit ribosomal RNA", at positions 524 to 776 of the family's 1533-position model. The record is from RNAcentral.
UACAGAGGUCCCGAGCGUUGUUCGGAUUCACUGGGCGUAAAGGGUGCGUAGGUGGCUUGAAAAGUUUGAUGUGAAAGCUCAGGGCUUAACCCUGAAAUGGCAUUGAAUACUGUCGGGCUGGAGGUUUGGAGGGGGGACUGGAAUUCUUGGUGUAGCAGUGAAAUGCGUAGAGAUCAUGAGGAAGACCAGUGGCGAAGGCGGGUCUCUGGACAGUUCCUGACACUGAGACACGAAGGCUAGGGGAGCAAACGGG